RNAcentral lists this ribosomal RNA (253 nucleotides) under uncultured bacterium. RNAcentral's name for it is "partial 16S ribosomal RNA". It matches the Rfam family "Bacterial small subunit ribosomal RNA", at positions 524 to 776 of the family's 1533-position model. The record is from RNAcentral.
GACGUAGGGUCCAAGCGUUGUCCGGAUUUACUGGGCGUAAAGAGCGCGUAGGCGGCUCGUUAAGUGUAGAGUGAAAUCUCUGGGCUCACCCCAGAAACUGCUCUGCAUACUGGCGAGCUGGAGUGAUGAAGAGGUUUGUGGAAUUCCUGGUGUAACGGUGAAAUGUGUUGAUAUCAGGAGGAACACCCAUGGCGAAGGCAGCAAACUGGUCAUCAACUGACGCUGAGGCGCGAAAGCGUGGGUAGCAAACAGG